AGAAGCUUAGGAUAAUGACCAAACCAAGAGCCUUCAAAGCUCCAAAUGAGAGUGAAAGCCUUUCAGCUUCUG
This 72-nucleotide transfer RNA is filed under the name Enneapterygius etheostoma. RNAcentral describes it as "tRNA-Trp". It matches the Rfam family "tRNA". From Rfam's summary of the family: Transfer RNA (tRNA) molecules are approximately 80 nucleotides in length. Their secondary structure includes four short double-helical elements and three loops (D, anti-codon, and T loops). Lineage: Eukaryota; Metazoa; Chordata; Actinopteri; Blenniiformes; Tripterygiidae. The record is from RNAcentral.